Molecule: ribosomal RNA, 267 nt
Filed under: uncultured bacterium
Lineage: Bacteria
Description: partial 16S ribosomal RNA
Rfam family: Bacterial small subunit ribosomal RNA
Source: RNAcentral
CGUAAACAGAGGGAAGCGAGCCCGCGAGGGGGAGCGAAUCCCAAAAAUAACGUCCCAGUUCGGAUUGUAGUCUGCAACCCGACUACAUGAAGCUGGAAUCGCUAGUAAUCGCAGAUCAGAAUGCUGCGGUGAAUACGUUCCCGGGUCCUGUACACACCGCCCGUCACACCAUGGGAGCCGGGAAUGCCCGAAGUCGGUGACCCAACCGUAAGGAGGGAGCCGCCGAAGGCAGGCCUGGUAACUGGGGUGAAGUCGUAACAAGGUACC